GAUGAACGCUGGCGGCGUGCCUAACACAUGCAAGUCGAGCGAUGACGCUUUCUUCGGAAAGCUGAUUAGCGGCGGACGGGUGAGUAACACGUGGGCAACCUGCCUUGUAGAGGGGAAUAGCCUUCCGAAAGGAAGAUUAAUACCGCAUAACAUUACUAAGUGGCAUCACUUGGUAAUCAAAGGAGCAAUCCGCUGCAAGAUGGGCCCGCGUCGCAUUAGUUAGUUGGUGAGGUAACGGCUCACCAAGGCGACGAUGCGUAGCCGACCUGAGAGGGUGAUCGGCCACAUUGGGACUGAGACACGGCCCAGACUCCUACGGGAGGCAGCAGUGGGGAAUAUUGCACAAUGGGGGAAACCCUGAUGCAGCAACGCCGCGUGAGUGAUGACGGUCUUCGGAUUGUAAAGCUCUGUCUUCAGGGACGAUAAUGACGGUACCUGAGGAGGAAGCCACGGCUAACUACGUGCCAGCAGCCGCCGUAAGAC
RNAcentral lists this ribosomal RNA (483 nucleotides) under uncultured bacterium. Its description in RNAcentral is "bacterial SSU rRNA". It matches the Rfam family "Bacterial small subunit ribosomal RNA", at positions 28 to 526 of the family's 1533-position model. The record is from RNAcentral.